GUCCUUGCCGUAAACGAUGUAUACUUGGUGUAACUGGACUCAACCCCGGUUGUGCCGUAGCUAACGCGAUAAGUAUACCGCCUGGGGAGUACGCUCGCAAGGGUGAAACUCAAAAGAAUUGACGGGGACCCGCACAAGCAGUGGAGCAUGUGGUUUAAUUCGAUGCAACGCGAAGAACCUUACCCAGACUUGACAUGCAGUGGAAGUUAGCAGAAAUGUUAACGCCCUUCGGGGCCGCUGCACAGGUGCUGCAUGGCUGUCGU
Molecule: ribosomal RNA, 263 nt
Filed under: uncultured bacterium
Lineage: Bacteria
Description: partial 16S ribosomal RNA
Rfam family: Bacterial small subunit ribosomal RNA
Source: RNAcentral